This is a long non-coding RNA of Oenanthe melanoleuca, 682 nucleotides long. RefSeq lists it as uncharacterized. The transcript is spliced from 3 exons. Lineage: Eukaryota; Metazoa; Chordata; Aves; Passeriformes; Muscicapidae. The record is from RefSeq and is a predicted model, not a curated record.
CUGAUGGAGGGAGAAGGAUGGAGUCACAUCUCUCACAUUUUCCAGGAGAAAAGGAGGGAACAAUCCCAAACUCCUCUCCAAAUCUCAGAGAGCUCAGAAGGUUGAAAUGACCUGAUGAAAACCCACAGCUCACCCAACAAAAUCAGACUCCUCUCAAAUCCCUCUCUGUGCUCAGACACUUGAGGACAAGCUGUGGCCAUUGUGCAAGUGCAGAGCACAAUCCAAAUGGAAAUGGAAACAAUUAAAUAUACAUGACAAGCAGCCCAGCUGUAUGUCUGAACCCAGACUCUUCCAGCAGGAAUUUCCCUUGGAAAUCAGCUCCCAGAUGCCUGAAGAUCAGCAAAGCUGGUCCAUGUACAGUUUGUCCCAUUCUGACCCCUCCUAAGAAGAUGGAAGGAAACCUCUCAGGUUUGAAAAUGAAAUAAACUCAUAUUUAAAAAUAUCCCUGAAUUCACUGCAUUUAGAAGCUUUAUUGAGAGAUGCUGCAAAACUCUUCCCAAAAAUGGCUGGAAAGAGCAAGAGGGUGGGUGCAGUAGGAGACCACUGGACCAUUUAUGCUCAAACCAGUUGCCCCAGUGGCUCUUAGGGCACCAAGCCCUGGAUAUGGAGCAAAUUAAGCACAGCAGUUUCCAGCAGAGACACCUGUGAGUGACCCCCAACUUCCUGGAGCAGCAUUCCUGGA